Molecule: long non-coding RNA, 1918 nt
Organism: Coturnix japonica (Japanese quail)
Lineage: Eukaryota; Metazoa; Chordata; Aves; Galliformes; Phasianidae
Source: RefSeq, a predicted model, not a curated record
UCCUGAUGGUUCAGUUUUGUGAUUCUGCGAAAAGAACCGCAUUUCCUUUUUGACUUAAGAGGGAGAGAGAGGAGGGAGAGGAGCGGAGGCUGGGGGCUGGCGGACUCAUCGAGCUACAAAAUACUCCUGGCUGAAGCAGAAACUACACAAUCCAUCUGAAACCCCACCUGUAAUUCUGCAACUGCUUAUAAAUAAGCGAGCCUGUUCUUCACAGAGUAAUUUUUAGCAGGUCUCCUUGGAGACUUAAGGCCUAUUCAGUCAUUGUGUCUGUGUUGUAUCUGUGUAUCCCAUCUGUCAAAUUUGAUCAAUGAGUCAGUCUCCCCAAAUAUUAACUUCCUACAUCUUCCAUUAGUUAGAAGUAGAGAUCUGAUAGAUGUGCUCCUUAAAGGGAAAGCUGCAGUAGAUGUCCGUGGUGGAGAAAUCAAACAGGAAUCUGCAGCAUCAGAACUUUAGCUCACAACUGAAAUCCUUAUCAUUUUUCAUAAAACUCAUGCUUGAAAUACAGCUACACAACUGAGAGAGAAAGACCUGCAAGUUUGUGACUGGUACCAGCUGUGGAGACACUUCAAUGACUGGGGGUUUCCAUUAUUCACAGGCUGGCACCAUAGACCGGCAAGAGCAUGAAGUUGUGUGCACUUCUGAAGGUCACAAGCAGAGAUGGCAAUAUUUUCUUCUCUGGGAGAUGUAUUUGCAGAGAUUCUUUUUUCCUUUUUAAGAGCAUCAUAAGAGAAACAUGUAGAUGAUAACGAGCAGAUUCUCAACUGUGUCAAAACCUGGAACGCUGCGAUGGAAAUGUGAAGAGCUGCAUAGGUUCAACUUCUUUGAAAAUCUGAUUGUUGAAUAUUUCUAUUCAGCUUUCUCUGCCAACGGGAUAUGAAAUUUUCCAAAUCUGUGCCAAAUUCUGACGUUCACAAGAGUCUCCCAAAUGGAUUUGCAUGAUGUAAUCAAUAACCAUGAAACCCUCUUCCACUCUCCAGAUUACAUCUGGUUGAGAUGAAUUUCUAUAAGGAUAAUAUAAUGAAAAUGUGAAAGACUAUAUUUGUUCGAAAUCUUACUAUGCAGUUGCACUUUGACAUGUAAAGUCCCUAUGGUGACAUGGCAUAAUCUGGAGAAAAUGUAUGUUCACACACGAGGAAUCAAACAGCCAUUUUCUUCUGAGUUAUCCCUGGUGAAUAAACUGGUGGAAAGACAAAGCCAAGUUCUCCGCUCUCAAAAUCAAUGCAGCAAUGCUGAUUUACAUCAGCUGCAGUCCUUGACUAAAGAUUCCAAAGGUGUUAUCAAUUAAUUCCCUGCAUAAUUUACCCAGAAUCACAUUGGAAGUGCAGCCAGCUUCCAACUCAACAAGCUGCCUUUGUAUGGAAAAUCAUUUAAGCGUGUUUGAAAGCAAGCAAAUGGUUAAAUGCAUCUUGCAGCCUUGUGCUCUUGAGCUUCAGAUAUGUGAUGGGUGUUGUUAAACAGGACCUUGGUGGAAGCAUCCACCUGGAGCAUGUGUUCACUCAGGGAGGUGGUCUUUGCACAAUGAAGAGGACUUCAUUUAAUGAUAACAAUGCCUCUAGUUUCUUCUUUUGGCAGAAACCAUAUGAGCCUCUCUCAGAAGAAUUAGAUCACAGCCAGUCCCACCUUAACUACAUAUUUGCUAGCUGAAUAAACAGGAUGAAAUUGGACUGACGGUCAUGUCUGCUGGCAGAUUCAAACACUUUCAGUGCUGUAAGACUGGUUCCAAAGGCUCUGGGUAUGAAACCAGCCUCUCGCAUCCCAGGGUUUGCUCUCUGCCAAAAUUACGUCCCAGCAAAUGUUUUCAGUGCUGCCCUCAGCUUCACUACCAAUAACGCUCAAACCAGAAAGACGAAUCCAUUCACAUUUUAAAUAGCAGUCUCAGCAUUAUUAAUUGCACAAUAAAAAAAGAAUUUGUUCCAAG